RNAcentral lists this long non-coding RNA (800 nucleotides) under Marmota monax (woodchuck). The record is from RNAcentral. Lineage: Eukaryota; Metazoa; Chordata; Mammalia; Rodentia; Sciuridae.
UGCCCACAGUGGGAGCUGCAUGAAUACCAACUGUGUAAGUGGGUCGUCUCACCGUUCAGAGAUGCCAUCUGUGCUCCAUGAUCUGACAUAAGGUGUGGACCUUGAAUUCCUAUCGUCACAGAGUGGAAGUGCUAAUAGGUGUUGGGGACCCCCUUCAGGAAGAGGCAGGAGAGCUGCAUGGGGAGGCCCAUUUCACCUGCUCAGUGGGGAGUUUGUCUCCUUGACUCGCCACUAAACCACAGGAGUCUGAGCCUCUUCUCAGUGAAAACUGGCUGCCCCAGAGGAGAGCACAGUCUUCAGUCAUGCUGUCACUGAAGCCAGCAGUGGCUCUGGCCAUCCUUGGAGUUUGUAAGUUUUGUUUACUUACUUUUGACUGAUGUUCUCUAAUUUUGUAUUUUUUAUAAAAUCCCAAGAGUUUGUUUUAUUUACUGCAACUUCUUUCUUUUCAGUGUAUGUGUAUGGUGCACGUCACCUGGAGCAACCUCAUCCUUCCAUUACUAAAACCCUCUCCAAAACAGCGCGCCUGGAGUGUAUCUUGUCUGGAGUAACUAUUUAUGCCAUGUCCAUAUACUGGUAUCAGGAAAAACCUGGCCAUCCCCUGAAGCACCUACUGUUCAUUUCAGCUGAUGACACUGUCAACCUGGAACCAGGCAUUACAGUGGGCAAAUUUGAGGUGGACAAGAUACCUGAGACAUCUACGUCUACCCUCACCAUUCACAAUGUAGAGAAAGAAGACUCAGCUACCUACUAUUGUGCCUUCUGGGAAUUGCACAGUAGUAGACAAUCAGAGCCAUCUCAAU